This is an unclassified non-coding RNA of Dipodomys ordii (Ord's kangaroo rat), 262 nucleotides long. Lineage: Eukaryota; Metazoa; Chordata; Mammalia; Rodentia; Heteromyidae. The record is from Ensembl.
UGUGUGUGUUUUCUGUGAUGAAGCAUGUAUGUCCCUGGAAAAGCUGUUAAGUCUAGAUGCUUUUAUGGGAGCUGCAAGUGGCUCAGGCCUCCCUGUGAGGUAGCCAAGGGUCUAGGAUUCUGUUCAUAACACCCAUCCCCCAGGCCUAUGGGAACCAGAAUCUGGUGAAAAAAUAUUCUGUGUUGCUCUUGGAUAACUCCUUGGUAUGUGCUUUUCGAUAUUCUGUUCUAGUCGAUAUUCGAAUAAGUGGUUGUGUUUUGUG